GUGAGGAAUAUUGCUCAAUGGGCGCAAGCCUGAAGCAGCGACGCCGCGUGGGCGAUGAAGGUUUUCGGAUCGUAAAGCCCUUUUCUUCGGGACGAGCAAGGACGGUACCGAAGGAAAAAGUGUCGGCUAACUACGUGCCAGCAGCCGCGGUAAAACGUAGGACGCAAGCGUUAUCCGGAAUUACUGGGCGUAAAGCGCGUGUAGGCGGAUGAUUAAGUUACUGGUGAAAGCGCCGGGCUAAACCCGGCGAGGUCCGGUGAUACUGAUCGUCUGGAGGGUGUCAGAGGGAAGCGGAAUUCCGGGUGUAGUGGUGAAAUGCGUAGAGAUCCGGAGGAACACCAGAGGCGAAGGCGGCUUCCUGGGACAUACCUGACGCUGAGACGCGAAAGCAUGGGGAGCGAACGGGAUUAGAUACCCGAGUAGUCC
This 426-nucleotide ribosomal RNA is filed under the name uncultured bacterium. Its description in RNAcentral is "bacterial SSU rRNA". It matches the Rfam family "Bacterial small subunit ribosomal RNA", at positions 354 to 796 of the family's 1533-position model. The record is from RNAcentral.